UUUAGCAGGAAGACUGAGUUUUCCUCCCUACGUUCCCAUCCCCAUUUCUCAUAACCGCAGGGAGACAAACAUACAUGUGGGAAUAACCUCAGCAUUGCAGAUAACAGCUCAAGGUUUUGUUGUUGUUGUUGUUGUUAAAAAGUUGAUCUUUCGCCCGGCCUCGGAACGGUGGAAUUUAUCUUCAAGAUUGCAGACGGAAAAGUUUGGCAUACAUUCAGGAUCAUAUAAGGACAAAGUUGCCCACAAGCAAGGAACAAAGAAGAGGAACUUUGGAUUUGCAGCAUUUUGUGUCACCUUACUUCAAGUUAUUGAUUUGCCACCACAGUGAAAAUACAAGUUGCACAAGAUUGGAAGAGAAAAGGAAUGAUUAUCACUCCCACUUUGGUUAAACAAAAGUUGGAUAAGUAUUGGUUCUUUGAAAGUGAUCGUGUAAGGAAGAAAAAUCUGGACCGAACAUUUUGGAAGUAGCUGAGAACAUCUUUUGGAACUUGGAAAGGAAUGGUAGCAGAAACACUGUGAACCGAAUCAGUUUUAUUCAGUAGUGAAAAUGUGUAAUUUAUUAUGUAUGUGUGUUAUUCUUUAGGUGAAUCAUUUGACUAUCAGAGAAAAAAAGUAAGUAGCAUGGACAAAUGCUUCAUGGACAAAUUUAAACAUUGUUGGAACAUUUCUUCAACUGAUGGCGAGCUGACAAAUAGUCCAAGAAAUCCAAGUUACUGGAGAAAAGUGUGCACAUGGGAGGUUUUUACAUCUAACAGCAAAAUCUUCCCCAUAACAGCUCUCCAGCAGAGAGAGACAACAAGAUAUGCCACACCCACCCACCUCAGAAUGAUGUGGGGUUCUCUUUCACUGCUGCUGCUGCUGCUGAUAUACCACUUUUCAACAAAAGUUUCCAAAGCAAUUUACAUAGAAAAAUAAUAUAUAAAUCACAUUCUUAAUCUUGCCUCAGACUGAACAGAGGAAGGAUGCCCAGUAGCAGCCAGAAUCAUAUGGAUAACUGCAGAAUUUAUCAGUGCAAACAAUAAAACAAAGGAUGAUUAUCUUGCUUCCUACAUAUUUAUUUUAAAAUUUAUACUCUGCCUACUUUGCAAGGAACUUGAGAUGACUUCCAAAAGCUAAAAUAGUAAAAAGUAGCAAAAUAGCAUGUGGGACGGGGAGAAAAGCAAAACAUUCAGUGAAAGCAAUAAGAUGGUACACAUAGCACCUCCACAAUCUAUCUAAAAGCAGCAGAGAAUUUUUAAAAAACAAAACAAAAACCAAGCAGCUAGCAGGCCUCUGGGAUGCAACAUUUCCAAUGAUUCAAGGAAACAAGACAAGGAAGUGUCUACAGUUUAAUGGGUUUGUCCAUGUCCAUAAAACAUUUAACAUAUACACACAAAAACACUAUUUAAAAAAACCUUCAAAAUAAUGUGCUGCAAAUGCAAGAUGACACAUUAUUCUAAUAAUCUACUGGAUCAGAGUUUAGCAGAACUACACUGAAUGCUCUUCCUUAUUCAGGUGUGCCAUUUGACCUAACUUUACUUAAUGCCAUAAUACUCAAGCUGUGGUUUUUCCCCUCCAUUCCUCCCAGAAGAAGAGAUUCUGCAGUGCUAUUUUUGUAGCACCUGAAGCAAGAGUAAUGUGGCUUUAAAAAAACUGAAAGCCUAACAACUUUCUUGUGGCGCAAGUUCUCAUUAGCUAGAGUAGUCUAUUUGUCAGAUACAGUUUUCCCAAGUUAGAACGCUAAAUUUCUGUGCCUACAAAGAUUAGAAAAGCUGAGCUUUAUUUAUUUAUUUAUUUAUUUAUAACUCAGGAUUCAUGUUGAAAUCAAACUUCUGGCAUUUCAUUUAGUUAGAAAGCAAGGGGUUGUAUGAAAAUUAAGAAACUCUGGGAUGCAGCUGACCACAUUUCAGUAAGACACACAAUGUGAUUUCAGUAUAAGUGAUAUAGCUUUGCAUAUACAUUUUUACUGUACCUUGAUUAUGAAUCUGGAGAGUUAAGAUCAGUAAAAAAAUAAAAUUCUAAACCAGCUUA
This is a long non-coding RNA of Hemicordylus capensis (graceful crag lizard), 2010 nucleotides long. RefSeq lists it as uncharacterized. The record is from RefSeq and is a predicted model, not a curated record. The transcript is spliced from 3 exons. NCBI's taxonomy places the organism in Eukaryota, Metazoa, Chordata, Lepidosauria, Squamata, Cordylidae.